GGAAAGAUUGGAAGAUUAGGUGGUGGAGGAUCAGAUUAUAAACCUUUUGUGCAGCAUGUGGGAAUUCCAUCAAUUGAUAUAGCCUUUGGAGGAGAAUUUCUUGUGCCAAAAAGGGAAGCAUCAGUGAGAAUUUCUUUGUGCCAGAAUUUCUUGUAUAUCAAGAAUGCUGUUGUAUCAUCAAACUUAACUCCUUGAGACACCAAAUUUAAGAGAAUAGUGGUUUUCUCUAGUUGAUGAUUUGCUGUAUUAGCUCCAACAAUGCAAACCUGGUUGCGACUCACCAAAAGACUAGUUGUAAUUUCCUCAGCUAGCUUGAAAACCAAAGGGAAGAACUUGUAUAUUGCAAUGCUGAUGUGGAGUUUAACUUGAAGUGGCCACACACAACCACAAGGAGAUCCAGGAGGUGUAUUU
Molecule: non-coding RNA, 411 nt
Organism: Arachis ipaensis
Lineage: Eukaryota; Viridiplantae; Streptophyta; Magnoliopsida; Fabales; Fabaceae
Source: RefSeq, a predicted model, not a curated record